AAGCGAGCCUGCGAAGGCAAGCGGAUCUCUUAAAGCUGUUCUCAGUUCGGACUGCAGUCUGCAACUCGACUGCACGAAGCUGGAAUCGCUAGUAAUCGCGCAUCAGCCACGGCGCGGUGAAUACGUUCCCGGGCCUUGUACACACCGCCCGUCAAGCCAUGGAAGCCGGGGGUGCCUGAAGUGCGCUGCCGCAAGGAGCGCCCUAGGGUAAAACCGGUGACUGGGGCUAAGUCGUAACAAGGUACC
RNAcentral lists this ribosomal RNA (246 nucleotides) under uncultured bacterium. Its description in RNAcentral is "partial 16S ribosomal RNA". It matches the Rfam family "Bacterial small subunit ribosomal RNA", at positions 1247 to 1500 of the family's 1533-position model. The record is from RNAcentral.